UACGAAGGGGGCUAGCGUUGCUCGGAAUCACUGGGCGUAAAGGGUGCGUAGGCGGGUCUUUAAGUCAGGGGUGAAAUCCUGGAGCUCAACUCCAGAACUGCCUUUGAUACUGAAGAUCUUGAGUUCGGGAGAGGUGAGUGGAACUGCGAGUGUAGAGGUGAAAUUCGUAGAUAUUCGGAAGAACACCGAUGGCGAAGGCAGCCAUCUGGACCGACACUGACGCUGAGGCGCGAAAGCGUGGGGAGCAAACAGG
RNAcentral lists this ribosomal RNA (253 nucleotides) under uncultured bacterium. RNAcentral's name for it is "partial 16S ribosomal RNA". It matches the Rfam family "Bacterial small subunit ribosomal RNA", at positions 524 to 776 of the family's 1533-position model. The record is from RNAcentral.